GGAGGGUGCAAGCGUUAUCCGGAUUCACUGGGUUUAAAGGGUGCGUAGGCGGAAUGGAAAGUCCGUUGUGAAAUCUCCGAGCUUAACUCGGAAAUUGCGGUGGAUACUAUCAUUCUUGAAUACUGUUGAGGUUAGCGGAAUAUGUCAUGUAGCGGUGAAAUGCAUAGAUAUGACAUAGAACACCAAUUGCGAAGGCAGCUGGCUAAACAGAUAUUGACGCUGAGGCACGAAAGCGUGGGGAUCAAACAGGAUUAGAUACCCUGGUAGUCCACGCCCUAAACGAUGAUUACUCGACAUUUGCGAUACACAGCAAGUGUCUGAGCGAAAGCAUUAAGUAAUCCACCUGGGAAGUACGACCGCAAGGUUGAA
RNAcentral lists this ribosomal RNA (369 nucleotides) under uncultured bacterium. Its description in RNAcentral is "bacterial SSU rRNA". It matches the Rfam family "Bacterial small subunit ribosomal RNA", at positions 527 to 898 of the family's 1533-position model. The record is from RNAcentral.